This 60-nucleotide transfer RNA is filed under the name Clostridioides difficile. RNAcentral describes it as "tRNA-Val". It matches the Rfam family "tRNA", at positions 7 to 64 of the family's 71-position model. From Rfam's summary of the family: Transfer RNA (tRNA) molecules are approximately 80 nucleotides in length. Their secondary structure includes four short double-helical elements and three loops (D, anti-codon, and T loops). Lineage: Bacteria; Bacillati; Bacillota; Clostridia; Peptostreptococcales; Peptostreptococcaceae. The record is from RNAcentral.
AUAGCUCAGCUGGGAGAGCACCUGCCUUACAAGCAGGGGGUCACAGGUUCGAGCCCUGUU